RNAcentral lists this ribosomal RNA (230 nucleotides) under uncultured bacterium. RNAcentral's name for it is "partial 16S ribosomal RNA". It matches the Rfam family "Bacterial small subunit ribosomal RNA", at positions 563 to 791 of the family's 1533-position model. The record is from RNAcentral.
GUAAGCGUGCGCAGCGGUUUGUAAGACUGUCGUGAAAUACCCGGGCGUCAACCUGGGAAUGGCGAUGGUGACUGCAAGGCUAGAGUUUGGCAGAGGGGGGUAGAAUUCCACGUGUAGCAGUGAAAUGCGUAGAUAUGUGGAGGAACACCGAUGGCGAAGGCAGCCCCCUGGGUCAAAACUGACGCUCAUGCACGAAAGCGUGGGGAGCAAACAGGAUUAGAUACCCGGGU